UACGUAGGGCGCAAGCGUUGUCCGGAAUUAUUGGGCGUAAAGAGCUCGUAGGCGGCUUGUUGCGUCGGCUGUGAAAACCCCGCGGCUUAACCGUGGGCUUGCAGCCGAUACGGGCAGGCUAGAGUUCGGUAGGGGAGACUGGAAUUCCUGGUGUAGCGGUGAAAUGCGUAGAUAUCUGGAGGAACACCGGUGGCGAAGGCGGCAUCCUGGACCGGUAUUGACGCUGAGGCGCGAAAGCCAGGGAGCAAAGCGGG
RNAcentral lists this ribosomal RNA (254 nucleotides) under uncultured bacterium. RNAcentral describes it as "partial 16S ribosomal RNA". It matches the Rfam family "Bacterial small subunit ribosomal RNA", at positions 524 to 777 of the family's 1533-position model. The record is from RNAcentral.